Molecule: transfer RNA, 73 nt
Filed under: Candidatus Altarchaeales archaeon HGW-Altarchaeales s-1
Lineage: Archaea; Nanobdellati; Candidatus Altarchaeota; Candidatus Altarchaeia; Candidatus Altarchaeales
Description: Candidatus Altiarchaeales archaeon HGW-Altiarchaeales-1 tRNA-Pro
Rfam family: tRNA
About the family: Transfer RNA (tRNA) molecules are approximately 80 nucleotides in length. Their secondary structure includes four short double-helical elements and three loops (D, anti-codon, and T loops).
Source: RNAcentral
GGGGUCGUAGGGUAGUUUGGUAUCCUUGUAGCUUCGGGAGCUAUAGACCUGAGUUCAAAUCUCGGCGACCCCA